CUACGGGGGGCUGCAGUGGGGAAUAUUGGACAAUGGGCGCAAGCCUGAUCCAGCAAUGCCGCGUGAGUGAAGACGGCCUUAGGGUUGUAAAACUCUUUCGCUAGGGAAGAUAAUGACUGUACCUAGUAAAGAAGUCCCGGCUAACUCCGUGCCAGCAGCCGCGGUAAUACGGAGGGGACUAGCGUUGUUCGGAAUUACUGGGCGUAAAGAGUUCGUAGGCGGACUGACAAGUUAGAGGUGAAAUCCCAGGGCUCAACCCUGGAACUGCCUUUAAAACUGUCAGUCUAGAGACCGGAAGAGGUUAGGGGAAUACCUAGUGUAGAGGUGAAAUUCGUAGAUAUUAGGUGGAACACCAGUGGCGAAGGCGCCUAACUGGUCCGGUACUGACGCUGAGGAACGAAAGCGUGGGGAGCAAACAGGAUUAGAUACCCCUGUAGUC
RNAcentral lists this ribosomal RNA (439 nucleotides) under uncultured bacterium. Its description in RNAcentral is "partial 16S ribosomal RNA". It matches the Rfam family "Bacterial small subunit ribosomal RNA", at positions 339 to 795 of the family's 1533-position model. The record is from RNAcentral.